CCUACGGGGGGCUGCAGUGGGGAAUAUUGGACAAUGGGGGCAACCCUGAUCCAGCCAUGCCGCGUGUGUGAAGAAGGCCCUCGGGUUGUAAAGCACUUUCAGUGAGGAAGAACGCCUGGUGGUUAAUACCCAUCAGGAAAGACAUCACUCACAGAAGAAGCACCGGCUAACUCCGUGCCAGCAGCCGCGGUAAUACGGAGGGUGCGAGCGUUAAUCGGAAUUACUGGGCGUAAAGCGCGCGUAGGUGGCUUGAUAAGCCGGUUGUGAAAGCCCCGGGCUCAACCUGGGAACGGCAUCCGGAACUGUCAAGCUAGAGUGCAGGAGAGGAAGGUAGAAUUCCCGGUGUAGCGGUGAAAUGCGUAGAGAUCGGGAGGAAUACCAGUGGCAAAGGCGGCCUUCUGGACUGACACUGACACUGAGGUGCGAAAGCGUGGGUAGCAAACAGGAUUAGAUACCCCUGUAGUC
This 465-nucleotide ribosomal RNA is filed under the name Vreelandella stevensii. RNAcentral's name for it is "partial 16S ribosomal RNA". It matches the Rfam family "Bacterial small subunit ribosomal RNA", at positions 338 to 795 of the family's 1533-position model. The record is from RNAcentral. Lineage: Bacteria; Pseudomonadati; Pseudomonadota; Gammaproteobacteria; Oceanospirillales; Halomonadaceae.